This is a non-coding RNA of Peromyscus maniculatus bairdii (prairie deer mouse), 678 nucleotides long. NCBI's taxonomy places the organism in Eukaryota, Metazoa, Chordata, Mammalia, Rodentia, Cricetidae. The record is from RefSeq and is a predicted model, not a curated record.
UAAAAGAGCUUUUUUUUUUUUUUUUAGCUUUCCAAGACACGGUACCAUGUAGUCUGAGCUGACCUCAAAUUUACCAUGUAGCAAAGGAUAACCUCAAACUCCUGGUUCUCCUGCUUCCCAAGUACUGGGGUCACCACAUCCAGCAAAAUUGAUUCAAAGGUUAUUUGAUGACCUAUUUUCUUUGUUGUUGUUUUCGGAACUAUCUCACUAUGUAGCCUAGGCUCAUCCCAUACUGUCAGUGAUCCUUCUGCCUCAGGCUUCUGAGCACUGGGAUUACAGUCAUCUACCAUCACACUUGGGAGGAGUUGGAGAAGUUUUAGAAGCUGACAGGACCCCAGACCAUGAAGAAAGCUUCUGCCUAGCCCAGAGCAGAACAAUUUAGAGGGACAGCGUCUGGACCACGAACACAAACCAAACAUCAGAACAUGCUUUUUCUGAUUCCUGAUCCAGGACUUGGGUCACUGGACACAGACUUGGGGACAGGAGAAGCUGCCUGGAGAGGAUGGAGCGGAUCUACAGAUCUGCCCCGCAAUUUGACUACAGACGACAUCAAAUUAACCCCUGUCUCCUUGAACUUCAGAUUAUGUUACUGGCAACUAGACUUUGUACUCAAGCAUCAACUCAGAGAGGCAACAUCUGAGUUUCCUUUUGGUUUAUAUUAAAUUACUUCCAGUUUUA